AUUGAACGCUGGCGGCAUGCCUUACACAUGCAAGUCGAACGGCAGCACGGGAGCUUGCUCCUGGUGGCGAGUGGCGAACGGGUGAGUAAUACAUCGGAACGUACCCUGAAGUGGGGGAUAACGUAGCGAAAGUUACGCUAAUACCGCAUAUUCUGUGAGCAGGAAAGAGGGGGAUCGCAAGACCUCUUGCUUUAGGAGCGGCCGAUGUCGGAUUAGCUAGUUGGUGAGGUAAAGGCUCACCAAGGCGACGACCCGUAGCGGGUCUGAGAGGAUGAUCCGCCACACUGGGACUGAGACACGGCCCAGACUCCUACGGGAGGCAGCAGUGGGGAAUUUUGGACAAUGGGCGCAAGCCUGAUCCAGCCAUGCCGCGUGAGUGAAGAAGGCCUUCGGGUUGUAAA
RNAcentral lists this ribosomal RNA (401 nucleotides) under uncultured bacterium. Its description in RNAcentral is "bacterial SSU rRNA". It matches the Rfam family "Bacterial small subunit ribosomal RNA", at positions 30 to 429 of the family's 1533-position model. The record is from RNAcentral.